UAAAGACAUAUAAAUAUCCCGAUAAAUAAUAUCUACUGAUAAAAAUUCAAAGAAUUUGGCGGUGUCUUAUAUACCCAGGGGAACCUGUUACUUAAUUCGAUAAUCCACGUCAUUCUUACCCUUUUUAGAAUUUUCAGCCUGUGUACUGCUGUCGUCAGUAAACCUUUAAAAGAAUAGUUUACAACAAUAAAUUAAAUUAUUAACGUCAAGUCAAAGUGCAGCUUAUAAAAGAUGGUGUACAAUGGGUUACAAUCUUAUAAAAAGAAAACGAAAAUCUUUAUUUAAAUACAGAUAGAAGGUGGACUUGAUAGUAAUAUUCAAAUCAUACUAAUAUGAACUAUUAAUCUAAGACAUGCACACAUCGCCCGUCGCUCUCACCCAAAAUG
RNAcentral lists this ribosomal RNA (386 nucleotides) under Enchytraeus bulbosus. RNAcentral describes it as "partial 12S ribosomal RNA". The record is from RNAcentral. Lineage: Eukaryota; Metazoa; Annelida; Clitellata; Enchytraeida; Enchytraeidae.